Molecule: small nuclear RNA, 107 nt
Organism: Suncus etruscus (white-toothed pygmy shrew)
Lineage: Eukaryota; Metazoa; Chordata; Mammalia; Eulipotyphla; Soricidae
Source: RefSeq, a predicted model, not a curated record
GUGCUCGCUUCGGCAGCACAUAUACUAAAAUUGGAACGAUACAGAGAAGAUUAGCAUGGCCCCUGCGCAAGGAAAAAAGAACAUGAUAAUACAUUGUUAAACUUUAU